GACGUAGGGCUGCAGCGUUGUCCGGAAUUAUUGGGCGUAAAGAGCUCGUAGGCGGUCUGUCGCGUCUGCUGUGAAAUCCCGAGGCUCAACCUCGGGUCUGCAGUCGAUACGAGCAAACUAGAGUGUUGCAGGGGAGACUGGAAUUCCUGGUGUAGCGGUGAAAUGCGCAGAUAUCAGGAGGAACACCGGUGGCGAAGGCGGGUCUCUGGGCAACAACUGACGCUGAGGAGCGAAAGCGUGGGGAGCGAACAGG
Molecule: ribosomal RNA, 253 nt
Filed under: uncultured bacterium
Lineage: Bacteria
Description: partial 16S ribosomal RNA
Rfam family: Bacterial small subunit ribosomal RNA
Source: RNAcentral